UAGGGAAUCUUCCGCAAUGGACGAAAGUCUGACGGAGCGACGCCGCGUGAGCGAAGAAGGUCUUCGGAUCGUAAAGCUCUGUUGUUAGGGAAGAAGAAGUGCCGUUCGAACAGGGCGGCACGGUGACGGUACCUAACGAGAAAGCCCCGGCUAACUACGUGCCAGCAGCCGCGGUAAUACGUAGGGGGCGAGCGUUGUCCGGAAUUAUUGGGCGUAAAGCGCGCGCAGGCGGUCCCUUAAGUCUGAUGUGAAAGCCCACGGCUUAACCGUGGAGGGUCAUUGGAAACUGGGGGACUUGAGUGCAGAAGAGGGGAGCGGAAUUCCACGUGUAGCGGUGAAAUGCGUAGAGAUGUGGAGGAACACCAGUGGCGAAGGCGGCUCUCUGGCCUGUAACUGACGCUGAGGCGCGAAAGCGUGGGGAGCGAACAGG
This 430-nucleotide ribosomal RNA is filed under the name Bacillota bacterium. Its description in RNAcentral is "Firmicutes bacterium partial 16S ribosomal RNA". It matches the Rfam family "Bacterial small subunit ribosomal RNA", at positions 355 to 776 of the family's 1533-position model. Lineage: Bacteria; Bacillati; Bacillota. The record is from RNAcentral.